This 507-nucleotide ribosomal RNA is filed under the name uncultured bacterium. RNAcentral's name for it is "partial 16S ribosomal RNA". It matches the Rfam family "Bacterial small subunit ribosomal RNA", at positions 28 to 507 of the family's 1533-position model. The record is from RNAcentral.
GACGAACGCUGGCGGCGUGCCUAAUACAUGCAAGUCGAACGCAUUUUCUUUCACCGUAGCUUGCUACACCGAAAGAAAAUGAGUGGCGAACGGGUGAGUAACACGUGGGUAACCUGCCCAUCAGCGGGGGAUAACACUUGGAAACAGGUGCUAAUACCGCAUAAUUCCAUUUACCGCAUAGUAGAUGGGUGAAAGGCGCUUUUGCGUCACUGAUGGACGGACCCGCGGUGCAUUAGCUAGUUGGUGGGGUAACGGCCUACCAAGGCUGCGAUGCAUAGCCGACCUGAGAGGGUGAUCGGCCACACUGGGACUGAGACACGGCCCAGACUCCUACGGGAGGCAGCAGUAGGGAAUCUUCGGCAAUGGACGCAAGUCUGACCGAGCAACGCCGCGUGAGUGAAGAAGGUUUUCGGAUCGUAAAACUCUGUUGUUAGAGAAGAACAAGGAUGAGAGUGGAAAGUUCAUCCCUUGACGGUAUCUAACCAGAAAGCCACGGCUAACUACGUG